AUUGUAUUACUACUCUUAAAAGAGCAUUGAGUGUGCCGUUUCAAUAGUAAUCAUUGAUUUCCAUAUCCUAAGAAGCGGAAACAAGGCGAAAAUGAAAAAUUCUAUUACUAGAAAAGAAGGUACCUUUAAGGAAAAGUGUUUUUUUACUUAAAUUGUCUAAUCUGUUCAUUUUAUUGAAAUUACCUAUUUCAAUAAAAGACCAUUUCAAAAUGCAUGUAUGCAUGCAUUGUAUGGAAUUUAUAUCCAUUGUAUGGAAUGUUCAAAAAUUAAGACAUUUUUGCUUUGGCAAAUGGCAAAUUGCAAAAACUGAAAUGACGGCUGACUUUUAAAUUUAGGCGACUUGUGGAUGGUAGAUGGGGAAAGUAAACAAAAUGCUGUAAAUGUUUUGUGCUGUCAUUUUGGCUGAAACAUUUCAACAAAUUUGGUUUUUAUGACAGCCAAAUGUGUGUGUAAUUAUUCCUGUCGAAUGCCGGAAUGGACGCGAAGGGACCUUGGCUGGACUUGGCAGGAAAAUUGCCCCAAACAAUUAUUAUGAUGGUUGAUAAGCCUCACGCACAUACAAACACCCCUCCACAUGUGCAAGUACAUACCACACGUUUGUACCGAAAGCGUGGAGUCGGAAUUUGCUUUGCGUUUAGUCACUCGGCUAUAUCUCGAUCCGAUGUGUGGCGUCGCCUUGCUAUUCCGAUGGAAGCCGCAUGAGAACUGAAAUGUCGCCGAUGGAGGAACACGGCCACUGCGUUGACUGAGGCAGCGACUGGGGCAGCGACUGGGGCAGCGACGCUUGCGGCUCUGCCGGAAAACUCGGAAAAUCGCAGAGUCUGCGCACGAAAAACGCCGAGUGAAUGAAAACAAAAUUAACCCGUACGGCGGCAACAGUAGUUUUAAUAACCAAUAUAUUCAAAGAUUUACGAAUAAACAUGCAUAUUUUUUA
Long non-coding RNA from Drosophila ananassae, 934 nucleotides. RefSeq lists it as uncharacterized. The record is from RefSeq and is a predicted model, not a curated record. NCBI's taxonomy places the organism in Eukaryota, Metazoa, Arthropoda, Insecta, Diptera, Drosophilidae. The transcript is spliced from 2 exons.